This 342-nucleotide unclassified non-coding RNA is filed under the name soil metagenome. Its description in RNAcentral is "partial contains 5.8S ribosomal RNA, internal transcribed spacer 2, and large subunit ribosomal RNA". The stretch from base 1 to 120 matches the Rfam family "5.8S ribosomal RNA", at positions 35 to 154 of the family's 154-position model. The record is from RNAcentral.
GAUGAAGAACGUAGCGAAAUGCGAUAAGUAAUGUGAAUUGCAGAAUUCAGUGAAUCAUCGAAUCUUUGAACGCACAUUGCGCCCGCCAGUAUUCUGGCGGGCAUGCCUGUUCGAGCGUCAUUUCAACCCUCAGGCCCCGCCUGGCGUUGGGGAUCGGCGCGGCCCUCUCCGGGCUGCCGGCCCCGAAAACUAGUGGCGGUCUCGCUGUAGUCCUCCUCUGCGCAGUAGCAACGCUCGCACUGGAACUCGGCGCGGCCACGCCGUAAAACACCCCACUUCUGAAAGUUGACCUCGGAUCAGGUAGGAAUACCCGCUGAACUUAAGCAUAUCAUAAGCGGAGGA